This 107-nucleotide small nucleolar RNA is filed under the name Cephalotus follicularis. Its description in RNAcentral is "Plant small nucleolar RNA R71". It matches the Rfam family "Plant small nucleolar RNA R71". From Rfam's summary of the family: R71 is a member of the C/D box family of snoRNAs containing the C (UGAUGA) and D (CUGA) box motifs. Multiple nearly identical copies of this snoRNA have been identified in Arabidopsis, and it is thought to function as a 2'-O-ribose methylation guide for 18S ribosomal RNA. Lineage: Eukaryota; Viridiplantae; Streptophyta; Magnoliopsida; Oxalidales; Cephalotaceae. The record is from Rfam by way of RNAcentral.
ACGACAUGAUGGAGGCAUUUUCAGAUGAGGUCUUUUAAUCUUUCCCAUGCCUCAUGGAACUGCUCACUAUCCUGCUGUGAGAAGCUACUGAGAGCAUGCCUUAUUUG